This 786-nucleotide ribosomal RNA is filed under the name uncultured Arcobacter sp. RNAcentral describes it as "bacterial SSU rRNA". It matches the Rfam family "Bacterial small subunit ribosomal RNA", at positions 597 to 1380 of the family's 1533-position model. Lineage: Bacteria; Pseudomonadati; Campylobacterota; Epsilonproteobacteria; Campylobacterales; Arcobacteraceae. The record is from RNAcentral.
AAAUCCUAUAGCUUAACUAUAGAACUGCUUCCAAAACUGUUUACCUAGAGUAUGGGAGAGGUAGAUGGAAUUUCUGGUGUAGGGGUAAAAUCCGUAGAGAUCAGAAGGAAUACCGAUUGCGAAGGCGAUCUACUAGAACAUUACUGACGCUCAGAUGCGAAAGCGUGGGGAGCAAACAGGAUUAGAUACCCUGGUAGUCCACGCCCUAAACGAUGUACACUAGUUGUUGCUAUACUAGAUAUGGCAGUAAUGCAGUUAACACUUUAAGUGUACCGCCUGGGGAGUACGGUCGCAAGAUUAAAACUCAAAGGAAUAGACGGGGACCCGCACAAGCGGUGGAGCAUGUGGUUUAAUUCGACGAUACGCGAAAAACCUUACCUGGCCUUGACAUAGUAGGAACUUUCUAGAGAUAGAUUGGUGCUAGCUUGCUAGAACCUAUAUACAGGUGCUGCACGGCUGUCGUCAGCUCGUGUCGUGAGAUGUUGGGUUAAGUCCCGCAACGAGCGCAACCCACGUGAUUAGUUGCUAACGGUUCGGCCGAGAACUCUAAUCAGACUGCCUUCGUAAGGAGGAGGAAGGUGUGGACGACGUCAAGUCAUCAUGGCCCUUACGGCCAGGGCUACACACGUGCUACAAUGGGAUAUACAAAGAGCCGCAAUACCGCGAGGUGGAGCAAAUCUAGAAAAUAUCUCCCAGUUCGGAUUGUUCUCUGCAACUCGAGAACAUGAAGUUGGAAUCGCUAGUAAUCGUGGAUCAGCAUUGCCACGGUGAAUACGUUCCCGGGUC